This is an RNA transcript of Haliotis rubra (blacklip abalone), 1967 nucleotides long. RefSeq lists it as uncharacterized. The record is from RefSeq and is a predicted model, not a curated record. The transcript is spliced from 10 exons. Lineage: Eukaryota; Metazoa; Mollusca; Gastropoda; Lepetellida; Haliotidae.
CGUCUGCUACGUCACUGCACUUCCGGCUAUGGCGGCUUAUUUUUGUUCAGGAGACCAAAGUUCACGUAGGCAGCGAGAUGUACCUAUUCGCGCUUUCUGAUUCGCAUCACGGGAUUUGAAUAUUAAGAGGACAUACUUUCAAUUUUGUUCCAACUAUUGUCAUUGAAUUGUGUCUGAAAUGGCCUCAGAUGAUAAGAAUCGCUUCUCCUCUGGACAACAACAUUACCUGAGAACAACGCAGUUGGUGGCGAUGUUGGCACUGACGUUCCUAUUGUUCGCGACACAAACCGAAGCCAAGUUUUGUACCUCUCUCAAGAUAAUGAAGCCAGAUGUAAACCAGUAUGGCCAAAAACUAUGCACAGAGUCCUACCAGUCCAGAUGUGGCUGGUUUACAUUCAAGAUGUGCACAUAUUACGAGAAGAUCCCAUGCACAAAGGAGCGGAAUGACACAAAGGCCAAGUUCAAGAUUGUGACAGAGUGUUGUAAAGGCUACAUGUAUGAUGCAAACAACAUAACAUGCAUCCGGAAUGAGACGGAGGAUGGCUCUGCAGGUGUUACAGUUAACACAAAUAAUGAUCAAAUCAAUGUAACUGAAGCUGAUGAGCUUACAACAAAAGCUGACGAAGUUACAACGAAAGGGGAUCCGGCAUCAGCAAAGAAUAUUCAAGACCCAGAUGAUGAUGACGGAAUUAACAUUUCCCAUGGUGCAUUUGCUGCCAUUGCCAGCGCAUGUCUGUUCAUCAUUUGUGUGACAGUUGUCAUUGUCAUCCAUGUCAGGAAGAAAUACUAUGUGCUGAAUGUAACACAGGAGGAGAUAAGAAAGUCUGUAGCGUAGGGUCUGACCCCUUCCUUGAUAUUCAUUUACAUACCCAUGUGCAACUGAAGGAAGAGAAGGCGAGGGAGGAGGCCAAGUCCCCCCUGGAGCUGGAGAAGAUGGUGCAGGCCUAACUUGAGAGGCAAGGAAGAGGUGAGGUCUGAAGCUGACGGAGGAAAUCGUGAAUGUCCUGAUGGUGGUGGCAGAGACUUGACAAGGAUGCUUGUAUAUUGGGCAAUGGAAUUUGGAAUUGGUAUUUUCAGUGUCUUGUGCUUGUGUGAUUCCAUGGAUCUAGUCGCCAGGAAAUCAUUCUUCAGGGAUUGUGGUUUAUUGUGGCCAUCUACAUGACAUCUACAGGAUGCCAGACAGGUGUGGAGUCACCACAACAGAUCAUACUGGAAAUUUCUUUUUACGAAAUUUCAAAUUGAUUAUUUGUCUGUUGGAAUAUAUUGUCCUUUUUGUGUCUAUAUGGGGAGGCUACAAAUAUUUUUGCUCAUGUGUAUUUCCAGUUUUCUUGAACAUGUUCAAUCUUCAGAUAUGAGAAUAGUCCUAAAAUUCAGGCUCUUAUAUUUGUAGUCUUGAAAUGGUUACAAAUUUUCAAGGUAAUUCCAUACACACUUGCAUGAGAGUGGAAACUUGUAUUGAACUGGAGAAUACUCAUGAACAGGUGCUUGUUGCAGCACCAUAGAUGCAGUGUCUCUGCACCCAGGUGCUUGUUGCAGCACUGUAGAUGCAGUGUCUCUGCACCCAGGUGCUUGUUGCAGCACUGUAGAUGCAGUGUCUCUGCACCCAGGUGCUUGUUGCAGCACUGUAGAUGCAGUGUCUCUGCACCCAGGUGCUUGUUGCAGCACUGUAGAUGCAGUGUCUCUGCACCCAGGUGCUUGUUGCAGCACUGUAGAUGCAGUGUCUCUGCACCCAGGUGCUUGUUGCAGCACUGUAGAUGCAGUGUCUGACUGCGCCCAGGUGCUUGUUGCAGCAGGUGUCUGUAGAUGCAGUGUCUCGGCGCCCAAUGUCUAUAGCUUGUCAUGUGUGUUAACUGUACAUAUUAUUUAUGAAGGAGCACAUUCCAUAGACACAGUGCAAUGUCCUUUUUUGUCAGGUAUCUUUUACCUGUUUUUUUUCAUCAGAUUUUUUUUCAGAUUUCUUUCUUUCC